UUGAGUUGCUUCCAUGCCUUGUAUAUAGUGCUAAGCUAUGUUUUAUAAUAAAAAAGCAUCAACAAUGUAUAAGGAAAAUGUUAAAUGUUAAUAAUCCUCCUCCCUCUGCAAACACAGCCGUAUCCAAUCCCACCUUUAGGGGUAUGUUUCUUACCUUCUUCUCUAUGCUCAUGCAAACCUGUCUACCCAAAUACCCCUACAAAAGUGGGGCCACCUGCACACAUUAACUGCAACUUGCCUACUUUUUUCUCUUAGUCUACUUUGGACUUUAUUUUUUCAGAUCGGUAGAUGAGAGAUCUAACUUGCUUCUGUUAGCUGCUUCAUAUCGCAUAACGGGGAUAGACAGGCAGGUUAAUGGCCUCGUGCGUGGUCUCAGAGUUGAUAAAUGGUGGAACCAGAUGACAGACGACAGUCUGUUUACAUCUGUGUGGGACCCCCUGGGAGCCUGGGGGUUUUCAGUCUGCAGGUAGGAGCGUCCGUGUGUGUCCUACAGCACUGCAGGUAAAAGCAUCAUGAUGUUGGAAGAAGAGAAGUUCUAGAGACGGCUGAUCAGGACUUAGCCCCGGAAAAACUGAGAUUUGAGCAAAUUAUUCCAAUCCCAAGAUGCAUCACGGAAUUACUAGAAGAUUUGAACUUAGAUCGGUACACACCAGAGGCGCCGUUUCAUCCCUUGCCCAGAGCUAUCAUGCAUAACACCAGGCGAAUGCAGGAACGAGGUCAGAAAGAGGAGUCUCAGCUGGAGUUGAUAAAAUCAGCAUUUCCUACCUCAACUGUGAAGGGCUGUUGAAGCAUCCAGGUGGAAAUGUCCAGCUGAUGAUGAGAAAAGAAGGAGAGAAGCGAGAAGGCCAGGUAGGGAGUCUGGGACUCAGGCCCCGCGACACUGGGGUGACAGUGAGGCCCUAACAGAAUCAGUGCCUAUUUAGACCCACUUCUGAAUUUCCAUUUUUCUUUUGUUUUUUUUGCGGUACGCAGGCCUCUCACUG
Long non-coding RNA from Aethalodelphis obliquidens (Pacific white-sided dolphin), 983 nucleotides. RefSeq lists it as uncharacterized. The transcript is spliced from 3 exons. The record is from RefSeq and is a predicted model, not a curated record. NCBI's taxonomy places the organism in Eukaryota, Metazoa, Chordata, Mammalia, Artiodactyla, Delphinidae.